This 5371-nucleotide long non-coding RNA is filed under the name Sus scrofa (pig). RNAcentral describes it as "lncRNA (ENSSSCG00025036580.1)". The record is from RNAcentral. Lineage: Eukaryota; Metazoa; Chordata; Mammalia; Artiodactyla; Suidae.
CACAUAUAAGUGAUAUCAUAUGAUGUUUGUCUUUCACUGUCUAAUUCACUUAGUAUGAUAAUCUCUAGGUCCAUCCAUAUUGCUGCAAAUGGCAUUAUGCUAUUGUUUUUAUGGCUAAUACUCCAUUACAUAUAUGUACCACAUCUUCUUUAUCCAUUCCUCUGUUGAUGGACAUAUAGGUUGCUUCCACGUCUUGGCUAUUGUAAAUAGUGCUGCAAUGAACAUAGGGGUGCAUGUAUCCUUUUGAAUUAAUUUUCUCUGGCUAGAUGCCUAGGAGUGGAAUUGCUGGGUCACAUGGUACUUCUAUAUUGAGUUUUUUGAGGAACCUCCGUACUGUUUACAUUAGUGAUUGCACCAAUGUGCGUUCCCUUUUCUCCAUACCCUCUCCAGCAUUUAUUGUUUGUAGACUUUCUGACGAUGGCCAUUCUGGCUAGUUCAAGGUGGUACUCAUAGUAGUUUUGAUUUGCAUUUCUCUAAUAAUUAUCAAUGUUGAAUAUCUUUUCAUCCAUUUUUUUUUUUUUUUUUGCUAUCUGUCAUUCUUCUUUGGAGAAAUGUCUACUUAGAUCUUCUGCCCUUUUUUUGAUUGGGUUGUUUUUUGAUAUCAAAGUGCAUGAGUUGUUAGUAUAUUCUGGAGAUUAAUCCCUUGUCAGUUGCUUCAUUUGCAAAUAUCUUCUCCCAUUCUCCACAGCAUGAGAGGAGCCUACUGGGGAGAGAAUAAAGCACAAUUUCCCAUGCAUGACUGGUUCUAUGUCCUGCCUGGAGCAUGCUGACUGGCCAUCCUUGAAAUUGUAUAAAUGAAAGGAAGUAGGCCCAGGUCGCCGUUUGUAUUAAUAAUUGGUGUGCAUGAAGUAAAUUAAGCCAGCCCACCAGAUCCUUCCUCACGGGGUAGAGAAGCAGGACAAAACUCCAGAAAUAGAGUCUGCUAAAGCUAUCUCUUCAAAGCUUUUGACAAAGGGCAAACCUCAGCUAUUUAUUUUUUUCUUAUUGAAUGGAGACUUCAGGGAGAAGUUUCAGUUCAGUUCACGCACAUGCACACACACACACAUAUGGGUGUGCAUACACACACAGUAUAGGUGUAUGAAGCAUGAACUAGAACAUGAGAAUUAUGCAGCUCUGCCCUUAUUCACAGAGGAAGUCAAGAGACCUGGUUCUGCCAUUAAGACGAGGGAGGAUUUUUCACCGUCAAAGGGCAGGUGUGUUGCAGUUCCGGGUUCCUUAAGCUCCUGUGUCUAUUCCCACAUGCAUUAUCUAUACUGCAAUGGCAUCUGGCCCCCUUGUUUGUACAGUCAUGUCAUACUGUAGGCAGGCACAGUAAAAGGCAGUCCCAACUGGAAGAGAGAGCUCAAGUAGUUCAACUGAACCAUGAUUCGUUUCUAAAUUUCUGAAGGAAACAACACAUUUGAAAAAAUCUUUUUGCUUUGUGCCUAGAGAAAAAGUUUUCACCUGCCUGUUUCCUGGUGUAGACAUUUCUCAGUUCCCAUUUCUAAGUUCUUUUCAACACCUCCCAUUCAUGAAGAGACCAUAGUAGUAAAGAAUACUUACUUAUGAGAAAUACUAAACCCAUUCGAUGACAUAGAAUCAUGUUUUCUUCUAACCUUUGUUGGAAAAAAAAAAAACAAACAAACCCUAUUUUUUUUUUUUUGCAGAAACAUCCUUUACAGCAACCAUACAUCUCAUUCACUCUCAUGUCAUUCCAUAAAAAAUUGGUAUUCUUUCACUUGCACAAAUAUUAACCUUGUUUAAAUAAGAUUUGAAUUCCAAAGAGCAAGAAAAAUCAAAGUUUAUAAAUAAUCCUAAUUAUUCAAAUACUUCAAUAGUGAGUAGAUGCUCAAACUCUCUCUUAACCCAAUUUUCAUUUAAAUUAAAACACAAGCAGUUAAAUAUUAACAAGGUUUUGGGAGUUCCCGUCGUGGCUCAGUGUUUAACAAAUCCAACUAGGAACCAUGAGGUUUCGGGUUCGAUCCCUGGCCUCACUCAGUGGGUGAAGGAUCCGGUGUUGCCGUGAGCUGUGGUGUAGGUCACAGAUGUGGCUUGGAUCCUAAGUUGCUGUGGCUCUGGCAAAGGCCGGCAGCUACAGCUCCGAUUAGACCCCUAGCCUGGGAACCUCAAUAUGCCGAGGGAGCGGCCCUAGAAAAUACAAUAAAAAAAAAAUCUUAUUUCUCUUAAGAAACCAUAAUCUCCAUGUGCAGAAACAGAACACACAUGGCUAAUUCAUCUUGAAUGUCAUUCAAGAAAUACAUUUGAUGUUGGUUUGUGCCAUUAGAACACAAUAAACUGUGAAAAGUGUCUGCUGGAAAAUUAGUUGGCUGUGUAGAUCAGCAAGAGAUGAAUCUUUGUAACAUAUGUGACAUGGCUUUGACAAAUCGGACUUUUAAAUAUACGAAGCAUUUUAAAAAAAGACAACUCCCAAAAGACACUUCCUUAGUAAUGAAUUAAUUUAGAUAGAACAUAAUGUAUACCACUAUUCAUAAGCCCAUUUUCAUCACAGCAGACUAGUUCUGUGUCAGUGUGACAAAGCCUUCCUUCAAAUCCCUGUUUGGGAUUAAUAUUCUGUAACUUUCAUAUUUUAUGCGCUCUCUAACUUCCCAUAAUUUGAAGAUAAAAAUCUCAGGAAAAGAUAUUUCUUCUAAAAAUAUAUUUUUUUUCUACCUAACAGAAAAGUUUGAGUUACAAGAUAUUCUGAAUGAAGAGUCAUUAUCUUGGUCAUUUGCUACAGAUGACUUAUUUCCAAAUGUGUUAGAAAUUAAAAGUCUAGAAAUGCCAAAUAUUAGAACUUCAAUACUUCACUAUGGGUUUUUAGUAUCCUAUCCAUAUAUAUUUGGAUGUUAGACUAGGAGCUAGUUUUAUGUAAGUACACGCAUUCACUUCCUGGGCUUCAUAUGAUGCCCUUGGUGGAUAAAGCCAAACAUUCAAAUAGCUUUAGUUAUAGUCUAAAAGUAAGAUGUUUGAAGAUCUAUAAUUUAGGAUACUAUCUGAAUACUGUUCUUGGUAUCCUAAGGUGUUUAAAAGGCUAGCCAGCAUAGAGCGAGAUACAGUGGGAACAAAUAUGAAACAGAAGAGAUGUCAUUUUCUAAGAAAUUUUUCACACUGAUUUUAUUAGUAAUCCACAUGCUGACAGUGAGCAAAGCAGCAUAGAGCAAGGGAAUAUUUCACACCUGAAAUAAUGCUGACUUUCAGCCCCCAAACAAGAAACAUUCUAAUAUAAACUGUCUCCUUUGGAGUUUCCAUUCUGAUGUAGUGGCUUAAGGAUCCAGCAUUGUCACUGUAGCUGCUGGGUCACAGCUGUGGUGCAGGUUGGAUCCCUGGUCUGGGAAUUUCACAUGCCGCAGGUGCAGCCAAAACACUAAAUAAAUAAAUAAACCACCCCCUGUUUUGACUGUUAUUAAAACUCUUCACAAAAGAAAUUCUUAUAUUGUCUACAGAGUCUAAUUUGCUGACAAUAUAAGAAGAAUAUUAUAAAUCACUGAAAGUGCUAGAGUAGGUCACAUCUUGGUAUUCAUUAUACUUUACCACAAUAGAUUGAGAAACUACUACUGCAGAGAUAUGAUUUGGAUCAAUUUCCAGGGAUAAUUUCACGAAUGAAAGCUUUCUAUUUAAUUUGCUUUUAACAGAACACAAGCCUAGAAAAUGAUCCAGGUGCUCUAGUUAUUAGAGUUUUUAGAAAGUAUUGGAAGUUACAGAAAUGAAUAGGAAUGAAAGAAAUGACCUACUCUUUAAUGAUACUUUUUAAUGACAAAAUAAAAGCUUUCCCUCCUCACAAUGACGAAUAAGAGGCGGUUUCCCAAUCCAAAUUCAUUUGCCUUGUGGCUUUGAUUAAAUAUAGGCACAUAGGAAACAUUGUAUUAUAGGAAUAUAUAAUUUCUGUAGUGAGUUUCUUACAAGUUAUGAUAUUUGAUACAAGGUCAAGGAUUUUUCAUUUUGUUCAAAAUGUUCCAACGAUCUGAAAUUGCCAUCAGUUUGUUACGCUCUUCAAAAUCUCUCCUCCUAACCUCUGUUAACAUCACCAAACUAAAACUAAAAACAAGGAUUUUUUUUUCCCCCUUCUAAACUGGCGGGUUAAUGCCUCUGGGAAAAUAACAUUCUUAACAAAUAAAACCCAGGGGAUCUAGUCAGGCGAAGAAAUAAAUCCUCAUCUUUCACACAACUUUCAAACUGUUCAACAGCACAAGAAUUCAAAAAUAGUUUCUUUUCAACUCAUGCCAUAUAAGGCACUAAGUAAGUUUGGAUGUAAUGGCAAUGCCAGAUCAACUUUCCAGACGUGAAGAUUCAAUGGUUAGAGGCUUAACUUUAAUAUGCAAAGUAGAGGGUUGGAUGGAGAUGGAGGUGGGAGGGCAUCAGGAAUAAAUAAUCCAUACAACUGGAAAGUGGACGUUUAGGUCAUUUCCUAUCUGAGGCUAUAGAGGGCAUAUUGGAUAAUGGUCAGACUACCUGAAGAGAAACCACAAGCUGAUUAGUUCCACUCCAAGGGAUGGUUUUUAAAAACCGGUUCUUAUUCUUUUACCAUUGAUUGGAAGUCUAAAUGAAAGGCUACAUAUGGUGAAAGAUAUAUAUAUAUAUAUUCAGCCAUUACAACAGAAGGGCAAUAAAUUAUCCAGGGUGCCUGCCGAGAACCCUCUAAUCCACACUUUCAAUUUUCAUUCUCACCUGUGAAAAAGUCUGAAACUGUAUGCCAAUUGGUUGUUAAUAAUGCACCCUGGGAGGGAACAAGUGGAAAUUGUUCCCUAAACUGCAAAUCAAGAGACAAAGUAUGUGUGUCUACUACUGUUGAAUGAAAUGCUAUAUCAGAACAAAAGACCGUGUCUGCGGUACAGGACGAAAGUAUGCUUUCAUGUGUCCUCUAGAAUCCAUGGCUCUGAGCAGCACAAAGCUCUGGGGCGCUUAUAUUUCUACUCCCAGAAGAAUAUCCUAACAGAGAUGUAGCUAACGGAAGCCUCCAAAAGGAAGUUUGUGAUAUGAAAUUUAAAAUAAUUGUUUUUAAAUUUGUAGUUUCCAGAUUGGGUUUCUGCUGUGCCUGCCAAACAUUCUCCUUCAUUUUCUGUGGGUUAGCUGCACAAAUGUGGCUUUCAUUUGUUUAUUAAUAGAAAGAAGUGGUGACUCAGCCGCUUUGUACAGAUGCCUCAGUUUUCCUAGGGCUGCUCUCCAGCCACAAAAGACUGUAAAACGUGACCAGUCAAAAGCCAGGAGGAAGGCUGAGCACAGGGGGGGCUGGGAUGAUGAAGAGCAAGCCCGCUGCCUCUCUGGUUUGGUCUGCAGUGUCUCCCUUGAACCUCCUGACUCCUGCUCACCUCGGUCCCCAGCCAGCUCAUGCUGCUCCAUGAUCAUCUUUUUCCUCAAUCUGCGUGUGGGCUCUGGGCAGCAGAAAUGCUAUCAC